AGGACGAACGCUGGCGGCGUGCCUAAUGCAUGCAAGUCGAGCGACGAAUAGGUGAGGGUAACCAAGCCCUAUUACGGAGCGGCGAACGGGUGAGUAACACGUGAGCAACCUGCCCCGAAGGCCGGGAUAGCCCAGGGAAACUUGGAUUAAUACCGGAUAUCCUCUUUUGAUCGCAUGGUCUUGGAGGAAAUGCUUUUUACGCUUCGGGAUGGGCUCGCGGCCUAUCAGCUUGUGUGGGUAACGGCCUACCAAGGCGUCGACGGGUAGCUGGUCUGAGAGGACGAUCAGCCACACUGGGACUGAGACACGGCCAGACUCCGUACGGGAGCAGCAGCAGGGAAUUUGCGCAAUGGGACGAAAGCCUGACGCACGCAACGCCGCGGUGGGGGAUAGGA
Molecule: ribosomal RNA, 395 nt
Filed under: uncultured soil bacterium
Lineage: Bacteria
Description: bacterial SSU rRNA
Rfam family: Bacterial small subunit ribosomal RNA
Source: RNAcentral